AUCCAGCUGACGAGUCCCGAAUAGGAGGAAGUGAGCGUCCUCGAU
Molecule: non-coding RNA, 45 nt
Filed under: Schistosoma curassoni
Lineage: Eukaryota; Metazoa; Platyhelminthes; Trematoda; Strigeidida; Schistosomatidae
Source: RNAcentral